This 279-nucleotide ribosomal RNA is filed under the name uncultured bacterium. RNAcentral's name for it is "partial 16S ribosomal RNA". It matches the Rfam family "Bacterial small subunit ribosomal RNA", at positions 506 to 784 of the family's 1533-position model. The record is from RNAcentral.
UGCCAGCCGCCGCGGUAAGACGGAGGUGGCAAACGUUGCUCGGAAUCACUGGGCUUAAAGGGCACGCAGGCGGUCUUGUUCGUCAGGUGUGAAAGCUCGGGGCUCAACCCCGGAAGUGCACUUGAAACAGCAAGACUUGAAUACGGUAGAGGAGAGAGGAAUUCCUGGUGUAGAGGUGAAAUUCGUAGAUAUCAGGAGGAACACCGAUGGCGAAGGCAUCUCUCUGGGUCGAUAUUGACGCUGAGGCGCGAAGGCGUGGGUAGCGAACGGGAUUAGAUA